AGAGCGAACGCUGGCGGCAGGCUUAACACAUGCAAGUCGAGCGCCCGUAGCAAUACGGGAGCGGCAGACGGGUGAGUAACACGUGGGAACGUGCCUUUUGGUUCGGAACAACUGAGGGAAACUUCAGCUAAUACCGGAUAAGCCCUUACGGGGAAAGAUUUAUCGCCAAAGAGAUCGGCCCGCGUCUGACUAGCUAGUUGGUGGGGUAAUGGCCCACCAAGGCUACGAUCAGUAGCUGGUCUGAGAGGAUGAUCAGCCACACUGGGACUGAGACACGGCCCAGACUCCUACGGGAGGCAGCAGUGGGGAAUCUUGGACAAUGGGCGCAAGCCUGAUCCAGCCAUGCCGCGUGAGUGAUGAAGGCCUUAGGUUGUAAAGCUCUUUCGAGCGGGGAAGAGUAAGUGACGGUACCCGCAAGAAGAACGCCCCGACUAACUUCGUGCCAGCGAGCCGC
This 454-nucleotide ribosomal RNA is filed under the name uncultured soil bacterium. RNAcentral describes it as "bacterial SSU rRNA". It matches the Rfam family "Bacterial small subunit ribosomal RNA", at positions 26 to 518 of the family's 1533-position model. The record is from RNAcentral.